RNAcentral lists this long non-coding RNA (463 nucleotides) under Malus domestica (apple). RNAcentral describes it as "long non-coding RNA (MDOM_LNC010668)". The record is from RNAcentral. Lineage: Eukaryota; Viridiplantae; Streptophyta; Magnoliopsida; Rosales; Rosaceae.
UGAUGGCAAAGGACCAUUCCUUGCCUCAAUGAGCUAUUAUGUGGAGCCACGUCGUGAUCUCCAUUGAUUGGCCCAUGUCCUUCAACGUAGGGAUCCUACCGGUUGUAGUUUGUCAAUUCCUGCCAUCAUAGUCGUAGAUCUACAAAUGAAGGAACUUGAAAGUCAGAGUCUUAUUCGAGUCUUCAAAUCAAAGCUCUCAAUGAAAGCACCAAUUUGUGGAUGCAAAUUUUCGCCGUCUCUUUCUUUGGAUGAAAAUGCACCUGUAAAAUAAUAACACCUAAGAUUAAGGCCAAAAGCCUCAUGCGCCCACGAUGAAUGAGGGUGCUUUGGCCAAAGAAUCUCCAAUGCCAAAGUUAGAAUUUUGAAAAGAAUGUGUUUAAAAGUUUGCGGGUAGCAAAAGCCUCCUGAAUUUUAGAGAUAAAGUGGGUAUUUAUAGAAGAUGAGAGGAGUAUGGGCUGGCCCU